CCAGUUUUCCAUGGAUAGUCACUUCAAAUUUCUGACUGAUAGAUCCAUCUUUAAAGAAAAAAUUAAAAUCCCAAAGCAAACUGGAAGAAAAUCUAAAUUCACAGGUCUAGAAGAUAAGAAGAUCAAACAGUUGCCUAAUUUGUGGAUCCAGACUGGACUUUGGUGGGGAUUUGGCACCUAUUUCAUACACAGAGCUGAGAAAAAACUGAGAAGUGAUUACUGCAGUGCAUUCAAAUGCCAUGGGAAGGUGAGCAAUGGAAGGCCAGACACCUCCAGACCAAUGGACAGGCUGCUGUGAACAGGAACUGAAGAUAAAGUGUGUGUUUAUAGGUAGCAUUUUAAAACAGCUGCAAUUUCACUGCUGGACCAACCCUCUGAUUAGACAAGUGGAAAAGCUAUGAAGUAUACUCUGUAAUAAAUGUCAGAGCAAAGAAGAGCAAAGAACUGAAAAACACCCUAUUAGAGGCUAGCAAGAGCCAGGAAAUAAAAGAAGAACCUGUGUCAAAAAGCAAAAAAAAUUCAAGAGCAGAACAGAAGUUCAAGGGUGACAAAGAAAAGGAUCACAGCCCUUUUGGGCCGUGACAGUGGUAAUUUUUAUAUCCAACUCAGUGCAAAGCUGGAUUCCAAGCUGUGGUGUCAUUGUGGAGCAGAGACUCAGCAUGCCAGUGGCAUCCAUCAGUGUGGGGUCCUCACCUGGCAGUGCAGUCACACAGCAAGAGCCCUGCUUGCUGAAAUGGUAGCAAUGCUCUUCAUCAGUGUGGAGGGUGACUGUCACCAUCUAUUAAAAAAAAAUAUUAAGGAAUUAAUAUAAUUGGACUGAAGUUACAAGGAAGAAUUGAAUUGAGCCAGUAGGGUUAACACUGAUGGUAACAGGAGAUAACUAGCCAUAAGAAAAUUAC
Lepidothrix coronata (blue-crowned manakin) is the source of this 899-nucleotide long non-coding RNA. RefSeq lists it as uncharacterized. The transcript is spliced from 6 exons. NCBI's taxonomy places the organism in Eukaryota, Metazoa, Chordata, Aves, Passeriformes, Pipridae. The record is from RefSeq and is a predicted model, not a curated record.